CAUUUUAUUAUAAAUUAAAACGUCAGGUAAAUAUCAGGUCUCUAGUAUAUCCCGUUUUUAGUGUGCCCCUUCGAGUCGACGUCGGCCACAUGUUUGCCAUGGUUUACAAACUGAAAAUAGAAUGAUUUGUGAAGUUGAACAUUUUCUCACAAAGAAUCCGUUUGUAGACAUGUACACUCAUUUAAUCUGCAGCUACGAAGUACUUUGUCACUUCUCUGGAACAUUAUUCUAAGCAGAAUUAUCCCUAUUCAUAUAUUCUAAGAAUCUUGUGUGAAUUGUUUACGAGGAAAUUCUGACUGUCACAUUAACAAGGAUGAACACUCUUGACUCUGCUUCGGAUUCCCCAGUGAUAAUUGUAUCGAGUGAUGAAAGAGCUGACGGCGACAUUUUAAUGUAUGAUUGGCUUGGACCAUUGGAAUGAAGUCAUUUCAUGGUGCCACCACUUGGGAUGGUAUUAGCUGCAAAUAUAGACUUGUACUCAGCACUUACUGCCUUUAAGAAGUAUGAGAUCCAUUUUGUGCUAACACCUACCGUGACACAGAAUCUUGGUUUAUGCAGUCUCAUAGGAGUAACCUGUCUAAAGCAUUUAGCAAUGGGAUUGGAACCUGCGACGUGUGACUCAUCUGAAUACUGAAUUUUGAUACCAAGCAUGACCAUGAUUUGCCAGAAGAUCAUCUGUUUGGAUGUGACAUGGAAUAAACAGCAUAGUGAAAAUAAGUCAAGUUUUGGUUUGUGAAGACAAUUUUUAAACACACUGUGUAUCAUUUUUAAAUUUUGAUUUGACAACAUAAAUCCACAAAUAUGAACAUAUCAAUUGCUCUCAGUUUUUCAAGUGAAAUAGUUUUUGUAACAGAAAUACAUGUACCAGUAAUUACAUUGGAAUAAAUGUUAUUUUUAAAUAUAAUAAUAUUUUGUUUGUGUAGCAUGUUGACCUCUUUAUUAAGGUCUUCCCUUUCAAAGUUUAGACUUACUUAUUCUAAUGAUUAAGAUAGAUCCUCUGUCUUCAGCAGGAAUAUAAGAUCUUGUAAUACAUGUAUGUGUAUUUUUUACAGUAUACCGUAUUUGGCCGAAUAUAAUACGCAUUUAUGUAAAAUACGCACCCCCCUUUUUGAGUCUGAAACUGGGGAAAAAACGCAGUUCGGAUGUAUUAUACGCAACAGAAAAAUUUACAAAGCGAUGUUCUGAACUAUGAAAAUCACAGUAAUUUGUUACGAAAAUCGGCGCGAGGAUUAGGUGUCAAAAAAUUUACUGAACACACUUUUUUAAAAAUACACACUUUAUAACUUUCUCUU
Molecule: long non-coding RNA, 1292 nt
Organism: Saccostrea cuccullata (small rock oyster)
Lineage: Eukaryota; Metazoa; Mollusca; Bivalvia; Ostreida; Ostreidae
Exons: 3
Source: RefSeq, a predicted model, not a curated record